Molecule: unclassified non-coding RNA, 360 nt
Filed under: uncultured fungus
Lineage: Eukaryota; Fungi
Description: partial contains 5.8S ribosomal RNA and internal transcribed spacer 2
Rfam family: 5.8S ribosomal RNA (bases 1-134)
Source: RNAcentral
UGGUUCUGGCAUCGAUGAAGAACGCAGCGAAAUGCGAUAAGUAAUGCGAAUUGCAGAAUUCCAGUGAGUCAUCGAAUCUUUGAACGCACAUUGCGCCCUUUGGUAUUCCGAAGGGCAUGCCUGUUCGAGCGUCAUUAUCACCCCUCAAGCCCCCGGCUUGGUGUUGGACGGUUUGGCGGAGGCCCUUCGCGGGCGUCUGCCCCUCCCAAAGACAAUGACGGCGGCCUCGUUGGACCCCCGGUACACUGAGUUCUUCACGGGACACGUAUUGGAUACAUGGGUUUACGAGGCACGGUCUGCCUCCCCUCAGGGAGAAUUUUUCUAAAGGUUGACCUCGGAUCAGGUAGGGAUACCCGCUGA